GGGGGGGGGGGGGGGGGGGGGUGGGGGGGGGGGGGGGAGCGGGGGGGCGCUGCGUGGGUGGGGUGCUGGAGUGGCGGGCGGGGGAGUAACACGUGAGUAACCUGCCCUUGGCUGUGGGAUGACUUCAGGAAGCUGGGGCUAAUACCGGAUAGGAGCUCCUGCUGCCUGGUGGGGGUUGGAAAGUUUCGGCGGUUGGGGAUGGACUCGCGGCGUAUCAGCUUGGUGGUGGGGUAGUGGCCUACCAAGGCUUUGACGGGUAGCCGGCCUGAGCGGGUGACCGGCCAAAUUGGGACUGAGAUACGGCCCAGACUCCUACGGGAGGCAGCAGGGGGGAAUAUUGCACAAUGGGCGGAAGCCUGAUGAAGUAACGCCGCGUGCGGGAUGACGGCCUUCGGGUUUUAAACCGCUUUCGCCUGUGACGAAGCGUGAGUGACGGUAAUGGGUAAAGCAGCACCGGCUAACUACGUG
This 468-nucleotide ribosomal RNA is filed under the name uncultured bacterium. RNAcentral describes it as "partial 16S ribosomal RNA". The stretch from base 49 to 468 matches the Rfam family "Bacterial small subunit ribosomal RNA", at positions 39 to 507 of the family's 1533-position model. The record is from RNAcentral.